GACGAACGCUGGCGGCGUGCCUAAUACAUGCAAGUCGAGCGCUGAAGGUUGGUACUUGUACCAACUGGAUGAGCAGCGAACGGGUGAGUAACGCGUGGGGAAUCUGCCUUUGAGCGGGGGACAACAUCUGGAAACGAAUGCUAAUACCGCAUAAAAACUUUAAACACAAGUUUUAAGUUUGAAAGAUGCAAUUGCAUCACUCAAAGAUGAUCCCGCGUUGUAUUAGCUAGUUGGUGAGGUAAAGGCUCACCCAGGCGAAGAUACAUAGCCGACCUGGGAGGGGGGUCGGCCAAAUCGGGACUGAGAAACGGCCCAAACUCCUACGGGGGGCAGCAGUAGGGAAACUUCGGCAAAGGACGAAAGGCUGACCGAGCAACGCCGGGGGAGGGAAGGAGGGUCUCGGGUCGUAAAACUCUGUUGGUAGGGAAGAACGUUGGUGGGAAUGGAAAGCUCAUGAAGUGACGGUAACUACCCAGAAAGGGACGGCUAACUACGUG
RNAcentral lists this ribosomal RNA (497 nucleotides) under uncultured bacterium. RNAcentral describes it as "partial 16S ribosomal RNA". It matches the Rfam family "Bacterial small subunit ribosomal RNA", at positions 28 to 507 of the family's 1533-position model. The record is from RNAcentral.